This 446-nucleotide ribosomal RNA is filed under the name uncultured bacterium. Its description in RNAcentral is "partial 16S ribosomal RNA". It matches the Rfam family "Bacterial small subunit ribosomal RNA", at positions 338 to 795 of the family's 1533-position model. The record is from RNAcentral.
CCUACGGGUGGCAGCAGUCGAGAAUCAUUCACAAUGGGGGAAACCCUGAUGGUGCGACGCCGCGUGGGGGAAUGAAGGUCUUCGGAUUGUAAACCCCUGUCAUGUGGGAGCAAAUUAAAAAGAUAGUACCACCAGCGGAAGAGCCGGCUAACUCUGUGCCAGCAGCCGCGGUAAUGCAGAGGUCGCAAGCGUUGUUCGGAAUCACUGGGCGUAAAGCGUGCGUAGGCUGUGUCGUAAGGCGUGUGUGAAAGGCGCGGGCUCAACCCGCGGACGGCACAUGAGACUGCGAGACUAGAGUAAUGGAGGGGGAACCGGAAUUCUCGGUGUAGCAGUGAAAUGCGUAGAUAUCGAGAGGAACACUCGUGGCGAAGGCGGGUUCCUGGACAUUAACUGACGCUGAGGCACGAAGGCCAGGGGAGCGAAAGGGAUUAGAUACCCCUGUAGUC